CUAGCACACUUCCCCCCCCCUUUCUCUCUCUCUCUCUCUCUUGUUCCAUUAUAGAGAAAACAAGAACAAAAAUGAAAUCGGAGAAACUGAUGAGCAUUAGAUCGAUGUAGACGCCAUCUAGAUCUAGAUCUGUACCGUCAUCUAGACCUGGAUCCAUCAUGUUUCUUUUAAACCCGUCAAGAUCUAGAUCUGGAUCCAUCAUGUUUCUUUUCAAACCCCAUGAAGAUGGAUCCUCUUUGGUUUAUUUUGAAGAAAAUCAUACACGAAGAAGAUGAUGAAUCAGAUAUUGAAGAGAAGGCUGAAGUUUUUGUUCAAAACCAGGGAAAGAUCCGGUGAAAUUACACAUUUUUUUACGUUUUUGAGGAGGCUGAAAGGGUUUGUUCGAAAAUCUUGUUCAAGAAGGUGAAUAAAUCUUGUUCAAGAAGGUGAAUAAGUAUGUUUUUUUUCCAGCAUUUUUGCAAAUCUACACUUUGAAGAAGAUGUUUCAGAUGUUGAAGAUGAUGUUUCAGAUGUUGAAGAUGAUUCAAAAGACGUUUGCAUGUUACAUUUUUUCCCCUGAGAUUUAUGUAGACUUUUUGCUGUGUUGAAUCUGAGAAUUUUAUAUGUUAUGGAUUUUUUGGUGUUGUUUUUACCAUGUUACAUUUUAUUUUUGUCUCAGGUUUUUGUACAUUUUUGCUGUAUCCGUGUUACAUUUUUUUUUCACUGAGAUUUUUGUACAUUUUUGCUCUAUGUGUGUUUGAUCA
Long non-coding RNA from Helianthus annuus (common sunflower), 743 nucleotides. RefSeq lists it as uncharacterized. NCBI's taxonomy places the organism in Eukaryota, Viridiplantae, Streptophyta, Magnoliopsida, Asterales, Asteraceae. The transcript is spliced from 2 exons. The record is from RefSeq and is a predicted model, not a curated record.